UGCCCCUCCAACCCAAAUAGGGGUCCAAGGAGAAUCCAGCCAGAUUGCCUGCAAAAGAAAGAAGAGGUUAGAGAGAGGUUAGAGAGAGGUCGGCCGGGAAGAUUAACGGACCACCGCCGGAAUCCAUCUCCAGACGAGACUCGUACCAGGAUUGAGGGGCUAUCAAGGCCUACGCACCAUCAAAGCCUAAGAACAUUUCGCGGGGAACAACUCACGCACGGUCUGUGAAGAAGUUUGGCCGAGACCUCAACCCAAAGGCAGAGAUCCGAGGGUCAUCCGAGAACGGUGAGCGAACUUCCGGCGUUCUUAAAUCCUCCGAUAGUCAAGAAAAAAAUUAUAAAAAGAAUA
Molecule: long non-coding RNA, 348 nt
Organism: Cucurbita moschata (crookneck pumpkin)
Lineage: Eukaryota; Viridiplantae; Streptophyta; Magnoliopsida; Cucurbitales; Cucurbitaceae
Exons: 2
Source: RefSeq, a predicted model, not a curated record